This 30-nucleotide non-coding RNA is filed under the name Rattus norvegicus (Norway rat). The record is from RNAcentral. Lineage: Eukaryota; Metazoa; Chordata; Mammalia; Rodentia; Muridae.
UGGCCUUUUGUGUUACUUAACCAGUUGGAC